UACGUAGGGCGCAAGCGUUGUCCGGAAUUAUUGGGCGUAAAGAGCUCGUAGGCGGCCUGUUGCGUCCGCUGUGAAAUCCCGGGGCUCAACCCCGGGCCUGCAGUGGAUACGGGCUGGCUAGAGGCAGGCAGGGGAGAACGGAAUUCCUGGUGUAGCGGUGGAAUGCGCAGAUAUCAGGAGGAACACCAAUAGCGAAGGCAGCUCGCUGGGACGUUACUGACACUGAGGCGCGAAAGCGUGGGGAGCGAACAGG
This 253-nucleotide ribosomal RNA is filed under the name uncultured bacterium. Its description in RNAcentral is "partial 16S ribosomal RNA". It matches the Rfam family "Bacterial small subunit ribosomal RNA", at positions 524 to 776 of the family's 1533-position model. The record is from RNAcentral.